CCUGGGCUUCCAUUUCACGAUCGGAAAGGCCACCGCAAAUCUGGAUGAUACGGUCAGACAACGUCGAUUUACCGUGGUCGAUAUGAGCGAUGAUUGAAAAGUUACGUAUAUUCUUCAUAUUUUAGAGUUAAUUAUGCCUUACGCGUAUCAUGAGGCCGCUGUUCUGUGCCUGACGUUUUUUAAUCCGAAAACGCCGCAUUCUACACUACAUCCGCGAAACCAGGAAAUGCUCUUACCAGCAGCAUAACCGUAGCAAAUGAUGUGUUCUGGCGGGGGUAAUAAAUCAAAAAUAAAGGCCAGUGGAUUCACUGGCCUGGUUCUGAAGAGGGAGUCUCUACACGCACCAAAUCUGGCGGCAGGCCAACGCUAAUAAUAACGGGCUGCCACGACUGGCGAGCGGCUAAUCCGGGCGAAAGCCCGCGCGCCACCAGAAAUCCACCGACGCCGCCGAGUAGCGCACCACACAGCGAAGCGAAAUCAUUUGCAAACAAGACCUGAAAAACAGACGCCAUUGCAAACAGCCCAACCAGCGGCGCCAUAUAGACUAAAACCGCCGAGCCCAGCAGGCUGCUUUCAGCAAUCCCCAGCUCGACUUUUUGCCCGGCGGACAGCGGCUGUUCGCUGGGAACGCUGAUCGUGUGGCUGGUUUGCGGCCCCAGCUUGUUUAGCACCCGGCUACCGCAGCCGGCGCGCGAGGCGCAGCUGCUGCACGAGGCUUUAACAUCACAGUGUACUUGCGCCAUUCCAUUAUGCCAGGAGACGACCGUGGCCCACUCUUUAAUCAUUGCACAGCCCUGAAUUUGAUGCUGUCGGAGAUGCG
This 820-nucleotide non-coding RNA is filed under the name Klebsiella ornithinolytica. RNAcentral describes it as "antisense RNA of rseC mRNA". It matches the Rfam family "antisense RNA of rseC mRNA". The record is from RNAcentral. Lineage: Bacteria; Pseudomonadati; Pseudomonadota; Gammaproteobacteria; Enterobacterales; Enterobacteriaceae.